RNAcentral lists this ribosomal RNA (827 nucleotides) under Fusarium culmorum. Its description in RNAcentral is "partial large subunit ribosomal RNA". It matches the Rfam family "Eukaryotic large subunit ribosomal RNA", at positions 81 to 938 of the family's 3401-position model. The record is from RNAcentral. Lineage: Eukaryota; Fungi; Ascomycota; Sordariomycetes; Hypocreales; Nectriaceae.
UAGUAACGGCGAGUGAAGCGGCAACAGCUCAAAUUUGAAAUCUGGCUUUCGGGCCCGAGUUGUAAUUUGUAGAGGAUGAUUUUGAUGCGGUGCCUUCCGAGUUCCCUGGAACGGGACGCCAUAGAGGGUGAGAGCCCCGUCUGGUUGGAUGCCAAAUCUCUGUAAAUCUCCUUCGACGAGUCGAGUAGUUUGGGAAUGCUGCUCUAAAUGGGAGGUAUAUGUCUUCUAAAGCUAAAUACCGGCCAGAGACCGAUAGCGCACAAGUAGAGUGAUCGAAAGAUGAAAAGCACUUUGAAAAGAGAGUUAAAAAGUACGUGAAAUUGUUGAAAGGGAAGCGUUUAUGACCAGACUUGGGCUUGGUUAAUCAUCUGGGGUUCUCUCCAGUGCACUUUUCCAGCCCAGGCCAGCAUCAGUUUUCGCCGGGGGAUAAAGACUUCGGGAAUGUGGCUCCCCUCGGGGAGUGUUAUAGCCCGUUGUGUAAUACCCUGGUGGGGACUGAGGUUCGCGCUUCUGCAAGGAUGCUGGCGUAAUGGUCAUCAACGACCCGUCUUGAAACACGGACCAAGGAGUCGUCUUCGUAUGCGAGUGUUCGGGUGUCAAACCCCUACGCGUAAUGAAAGUGAACGCAGGUGAGAGCUUCGGCGCAUCAUCGACCGAUCCUGAUGUUCUCGGAUGGAUUUGAGUAAGAGCAUACGGGGCCGGACCCGAAAGAAGGUGAACUAUGCCUGUGUAGGGUGAAGCCAGAGGAAACUCUGGUGGAGGCUCGCAGCGGUUCUGACGUGCAAAUCGAUCGUCAAACAUGGGCAUGGGGGCGAAAGACUAAUCGA